GACAGGAGGAGGUCAGUCACUCAUCUGCAGCCCGUGCGGAUCAGACUCGCCGGGCUCGCAGCAGCUUUCACACUUCUGUUAUGUCAGUAGGAAUGUAAGGGGAAUACACGCGCAGAGGGGGAAUAUUUGACUGUGCGCGAGGGAGGCGUGGAGCCCGACACAGGGCUGUAGCAUGGGGUGAUGAGGACUCUCCUUUGCUAAUCUCAAUGCAGAUGACUAGUGAUGGCCACAGCAUCACCUCAACAUUUGUUGGAUGACAUAAAAAACUCUGAAGAACAACAGCCGGACCAACAGGAGCAGCAGGAAUUCUUGAGCUCCCUGGAGACCAUCGCUCUCACCAUCUUUCUCUCGCUCAUCAUUAUCAUGACAGUUUUCGGCAACCUGUUGGUCAUGGUGGCGCUCUGCAAGGACCGACACUUGCGAAAGAAAAAGACAAACUACUUUAUUGUCUCGCUGGCGUUUGCUGACUUGCUGGUUGCUCUGGUCGUGAUGCCCUUUGCUGCCAUCGAACUGACUACUGGCCAGUGGCGCUAUGGAGAGAUUUUCUGCCUGGUGCGAACAUCUCUGGACGUCCUGUUGACCACAGCAUCCAUCCUGCACCUCUGCUGCAUUGCACUGGAUAGGUAUUAUGCCAUCUGCUGCCAGCCAUUGGUGUAUAGACACAAGAUGACCCCGAUGAGAGUGGCAGUCAUGCUCAGUGGCUGUUGGCUCAUUCCCACAUUUAUCUCCUUUCUACCCAUCAUGCAAAGCUGGAACGCCAUCGGGAUCGAGGAUAUUAUUGAAGAGCGGCGAGCCUUGGCGGGAGGCUCGAACGACACAAGUUGUGUGUUUCUGGUUAACCGGCCGUACGCCCUGAUCUGCUCUGCAGUGGCCUUCUACGUGCCGCUGGGCCUCAUGGUCCUAGCCUACCAGCGUAUCUAUGUUACUGCCAUGACCCACGUGCGGCAGAUAGAGACACUUCAACGUGCCGGAUCUGCUCCGGUCACCGGCACAAUUCCAGUCAUCACCGUGAGGACAUCCACUUCCUCAGAUCCUUUGGAGCAUUACCGCCUUAGGACACCAACGGGUUCGUCCUCCUCAGAGCAGGCUCCUAUAGGUCACAGCCGCAUGCGCAUUGAGACCAAGGCAGCAAAGACGCUGGCGGUUAUAAUGGGUUGUUUCUGCCUGUGCUGGGCUCCAUUCUUUAUCACCAACAUAGUGGACCCGUUCAUCCACUACUCGGUACCCUGGCAGCUGUGGACAGCCUGGUUGUGGCUUGGGUACAUUAACUCAGGGCUGAACCCUUUCCUGUACGCCUUCCUAAACCGGGCUUUUCGGAGGGCGUUUCUGGUCAUUCUCUGCUGUGGGGAUGAGCGGUACGCACGGCAGGGGAGCUGCUCCUAUGGACCAACCCACAGAGUGUGCUCAGCUGCAUCAGUCAAUGGAACAUCCAUGGCACUGAGGAAUUAAGAGAGUAAUCAUCAUCAGCAAGUGUGGCCAUCUCUAUAAAAGCAGAAGUUUUGGCAGUUUGCUGCUCUGGAGUUUUCAGAUUGUCCUUCCUGCCAAACCGGAGCUACAGCGACAAUGGACGGACAAUUCUGGCCAAUGAGCAGGAAUCCCAGGACUCUCUUGGACCUCUAUGAGGAUGACUAUUUUAAAAACAGAACUGUGAUGAACCUUGAGGUGGACUUCCUCAAAUAAUAGUGAUCGUGUCCCUUCUGGAUAUUCGAGCUAUGAUAAUCCAUCACCAUUGUCUGAUUUACUUUACUACUUUACUUACUGAUCCUGUCCAUGGAUCUCUAAAGAUGUUCAUUACUCAAGUGUGGAGCAUCAGAACUGACUUGUUAUAAAAUAGUUGGAUCAAUGAACUGUGCAAAUGUUUCCAGGCAUGCUCUUAUUCUAAAACCCAAAGAACUAGUCUGGAUCCUGGGAUCAGCGAACUGCAAGCCCAUCCAUGUUAACAUAAUGUGAGACUCAUUAACUUAAAACAACAAGCUGUAGCAGAGCUACCUGCCUGCUGCUCAUACAAAUGUUUGUUCAUAUAAGAAUACGGCUUCUUUUACAGCACUGCUUUCUUUUCCUGUCUUUUACCAGCAUAAACUAAACAACUAAGGUGGCACUGGAGUCUGACAUACAGUUUUUAAAAAAGGACUUCGUAAUAUCUGUUUUUCAUUUCUAAUCCUGCUGUGAACAAAAACACCAAAGACUGAAGACAUGGACAUUUUGAUUUGAUUUCUCCCAGGAAAGGCAUCAGCGGCAUCGUGCAGGUUCUGUUCAAACAGUGCUGAAGCACCUGCAUAAAGUUUUCAUGAAACAUAAAACAUGGCUGGACUUUUGUCUGCAGGCCAGCGGCAAAGUUAAAGUGCAGCUUUACGCCAAUGUGAAAAAAUGUAUGUCAAAACAUUUAUCGUGGUUUUCAUCAUUCUGCAGAGAAUGACAGUGAUCUGUGUUGGAGAAUAUGCUUUACUUUUUGUAAAUUUAUAAGAUAAACUUCUGUAACAAAGCACUGAAAGUUCAGGCACAUUGCCAUAAAUGUGUCUGAAAAAGUGACGGUUUCAGGAAUGUGAAGAAAAAACCGCUCUGGUGUUUGUGCUUGUGAAUGAGCCCAGCUUCCUGUAUUCUUUAAUGUAAAUAAGGCUGCUGUGAAACAUGAAGAGAAAUCACUGGAGCAUACAGCCACCGGCCACUUUGUUAGGUACAUCUGUGAACCCACCUGUACGUGCAAACAUUCAGUUAGUUAAUCACAUGGCAGCAACUCUGUGCAUUUUGGCUUUUACACAUAGUCAAGACAACCUGCUGAGCUCUGGAGGAAAAAGAGGGUCCAACCUUGUACUAACAAGGUAUAACUAAUCAAGUGGCCAAUGACUGUAGUUGGAUGAAUAAGACACUUUGAAACAAGAAGCAGUCUCACAUAUCAAAAAAUAGAUACAAUAGCAAUAUAUUUGAACACCAGAAGUAAUUUCCAGUAGCCAAAGCGUAGUAUAUGCAGGUCAAUGUUCAAUAUACAAACUGAACUGGCUGUACAUGGAUCAGGAGCAGGAAAUACCUGUGACCUUCUGUCACAUAUUCAGUUUAUCUCAGAGUUGGGCCUUAAAUCCUGCAAACCUUUCUCAAUUAUGUAUUUCAUUAUGUGUGACUUAAAAAUAUUACAAAAUUAUACUGAAACAGGAGAAAAUCUUUUCAGCCAAGGUGCAACAAUUAUAAUUUAGAGAAGUAGGAGACUUUAUGUCAGUGGAGCACAAAUAAGUACAUGUAUAUAACAAUAUAGCGACUCACUGGGUGCUUUAUGAGCUAUAGGUAUUGGACUGCUAGUACUGGGUUGGACCCCCUUUGCCUUCAAAAUUGCCUUAAUUCUGUGUCAUAGAUUCAACAAGGUGGUGGAAACAUUCCUCAGAGAAAUUUGGCCCGUAUUGACAUGAUGAAGUUGCUGGAGAUUUGUUGGCUGCAAAUCUGUUAUCGCCUCAAGGUGCUUUAUGUUGUAAGGUAAAGACCUACAAUAAUACAGAGAAAACCCCAACAACCAGGCGACCCCCUGUGAGGAAACUCUUGGCAUCAGUGGGAAGGAAAAAAACACAGAGAAAUGCAUACACAGAGCAUAUCAGACUUGAAUAUACUCACUGCAACAAAGUCUGACAAUUGCUCAUAUAAUCAAUUGCCCUCCCUGUUAGAUGUCAUGUUUUACAACAUGAAAAGAAUAUCAGCAGCCUCAUGCUUCCAUUUACAGAAGCACUGCAUCUGCUGUAGAUUGUAAUAAAUUCAGGAUCGGGUUUAUUUUGCACAAAGGCAGUUUUCAGCUGAGGUGGGUAUGAAGGUGUGGAAUUUCACAAACGAAGAAUAACAGACUUGGAGUCUUUGAGUUGCUUGAUCAGUGGACUGAUCAAGUGGACUGUUUUAAAGGCAAAUUAGAUGACAUUUGACCACUAGAGGGCAGAAACACUGUAAAACAGCCCUUCAGUGGGAUUUACACCUCCAUGUUAAAUCUACACUGUAACUUACUUCCCUAGGUAUGUGCUAAUGCAGCCUGUAACGACUCUAAUUUGCCUAUUCUAGCACCAUCUAGUGUUUCAUAAGUGAAACUGCAGAACAGUUGCACAGCUUGCAGCAUAAAUUCAGUACAUAAGCCUAAAUCAGACUUUAAAGGGAAUACCUGUAAUUACUCUGCUUUGAGUACUAAUUUUGUCUCAUUGAACAUAUGAAAACAAGUUGACAUGACAUAGUGCCUACAUUUAAAAACAACAACUAAAAGCAGUACGGUUUUGGCACCACUGGUGACUCCUUUACAUUUUCCAGAGUCCUUUGAUUCCAAGGUUUAUUCUAAGUUUAGCCCACAUGUUGUCUGUCUAAGUUGGUCUCCAUCUGUCACAGCGCGUUUUGAGUUUGACUUACAAAGGCGUGAAGCUAUUAUCCGCCUACUGUCUGUCAUCUCUAAUAUCUGCGUUAUAUUGUCCUUCUGCAUUUAAAACAUCAGUUAACACCUCUUCUUUCUUUUUCUUCUCAGUCCACAGCCUCCAUGUAUUUCAUGUUUAUUAGACGUGAUAAAGAUGCCAAGAAAUGAAAGAAUUUUAAACAUUUUGGCUUCCAAUCUGCAACAAGGUGUAAACAGAAAUUAAUAGAUUUGUCAUAUAAGGCUCAUAUGUUGCACAUGUUAACAAAGAGCGGUUUAUUUACACAUUGACUCUGCACCAGGCAACAUUAGCAUUCACUUGGUAGUGUUUUUGGCCACCUAACAGAAAAACAUCCAAUAGAUAAGCUCCUUUUAGCUCUGUCUUUUUUAUAUAGUCCAUCUGAUUGCUAAAGUCAUUAAGAUCCAUCUUCUGUUGGAAAAGAAAAUAGACAUAUAUGGUCCUUACAGUCUGUAUUUUAAGCAAAUUGUCCUCUUUUCCCCAGAUUUUGGCAGGAGGAAGCCUAUUGUAGUAUUUGUGCCUUCUAUUGAACGUUCACAUGUCCCAAAUUGAGCCCUGUGAUGUGAUCCUUUCUUCAGCAAGUCGGCAUGAGAAAGCAGGCUCUCUGUGAGGCUGAAGCGUUUUUAACAAGCUUUCAUUAUUGUUGGAGGUGGUAGGCAGUAAUUACACACAAAGCCCCUCAUCAGAAUCCUGUUUGGUAACAGCAAACGUGAAUAUCUCCAAUCAUUCUCACUGCUGCUGAAAAAAAAUGAAAAAACAAAACAAAUGACUUAGGUUGGGAAUUUGCUGGCUGUUAACUAAAUGGUGAAUUCAUUAUGUUGUGAGCCUUCUCACAACUCUCUGACUCCACUGCAAUCCUUCUGGGAUUAUAUCCUGUCCAAGACCUGGAGAUCUCAAGGCUCUGGCUCAUAUAGCACCACAGUGCCAGAGCUGGACCCGGUCUUCUAAAAACAUUUGGCUCGAGGAUUAAUCUGAAGCUAACACAGGAACAGAACAUUAUUUUUAACCUAACAAGACACAGAUUCAUACUUCCAUCUAUGGUACUGAAAAAAAAAUAAUGUUGACUGCAACAGGAGAUGUUUUUGUUUCAGGGUGAACGCAGUCUGAUCUCUUAUAGCAAACAGGCCCACACAAAGCAAAACAAUUUGUUUGAGGAUAUAAAAUGUGAUACCCCAUCAUGAGGGUUUAUCACUCUUUCCACAUGGAGGUAAGAUCUUAGUUAACUUCAAAGCACGGCCCCAAGAGCCACUUUUAGGUGUGUCGCCUUCAAUGGGAAGCAGUCCCACAUGGUUCCUAUUGGAAAACUUAAAUAAGCUGGCUGUAAGCAGUUCACUAAGCUUAUUAGACAUGCUCUUGCUCAACCAACCUGUUAGUCUCAACCCUUAAAGUAUUUUCUUUCAUAAAACCCAAAAAGAAGACUUUGAAAAUUCCUUCAGUGAAGCACAAAUCUUACUUUAACAUGCAGUUAAUUUUACUCAUGGUGUACACUCAAGUUGUAGCGGGCUCACUACUGCCCCCUGAUAUCAGAGCUCAUAACAAAUCCUACUGGUUGGGCAAAUUUGUAGGUAAUUCACUGGGAAAACUGGGCUAAAGAACAG
Molecule: RNA transcript, 5980 nt
Organism: Oreochromis niloticus (Nile tilapia)
Lineage: Eukaryota; Metazoa; Chordata; Actinopteri; Cichliformes; Cichlidae
Gene name: 5-hydroxytryptamine receptor 4
Exons: 8
Source: RefSeq, a predicted model, not a curated record